CCUGGCUCAGGACGAACGCUGGCGGCGCGCCUAACACAUGCAAGUCGAACGAGCGAGAGAGAGCUUGCUUUCUCGAGCGAGUGGCGAACGGGUGAGUAACGCGUGAGGAACCUGCCUCAAAGAGGGGGACAACAGUUGGAAACGACUGCUAAUACCGCAUAAGCCCACGGCUCGGCAUCGAGCAGAGGGAAAAGGAGCAAUCCGCUUUGAGAUGGCCUCGCGUCCGAUUAGCUAGUUGGUGAGGUAAUGGCCCACCAAGGCGACGAUCGGUAGCCGGACUGAGAGGUUGAACGGCCACAUUGGGACUGAGACACGGCCCAGACUCCUACGGGAGGCAGCAGUGGGGAAUAUUGCACAAUGGGGGAAACCCUGAUGCAGCGACGCCGCGUGGAGGAAGAAGGUCUUCGGAUUGUAAACUCCUGUUGUUGAGGAAGAUAAUGACGGUACUCAACAAGGAAGUGACGGCUAACUACGUGCCAGCAGCCGCGGUAAAACGUAGGUCACAAGCGUUGUCCGGAAUUACUGGGUGUAAAGGGAGCGCAGGCGGGAAGACAAGUUGGAAGUGAAAUCCAUGGGCUCAACCCAUGAACUGCUUUCAAAACUGUUUUUCUUGAGUAGUGCAGAGGUAGGCGGAAUUCCCGGUGUAGCGGUGGAAUGCGUAGAUAUCGGGAGGAACACCAGUGGCGAAGGCGGCCUACUGGGCACCAACUGACGCUGAGGCUCGAAAGUGUGGGUAGCAAACAGGAUUAGAUACCCUGGUAGUCCACACUGUAAACGAUGAUUACUAGGUGUUGGAGGAUUGACCCCUUCAGUGCCGCAGUUAACACAAUAAGUAAUCCACCUGGGGAGUACGACCGCAAGGUUGAAACUCAAAGGAAUUGACGGGGGCCCGCACAAGCAGUGGAGUAUGUGGUUUAAUUCGACGCAACGCGAAGAACCUUACCAAGUCUUGACAUCCUGCGACGGUGCUGGAAACAGUACUUUCCUUCGGGACGCAGAGACAGGUGGUGCAUGGUUGUCGUCAGCUCGUGUCGUGAGAUGUUGGGUUAAGUCCCGCAACGAGCGCAACCCUUAUGGUCAGUUACUACGCAAGAGGACUCUGGCCAGACUGCCGUUGACAAAACGGAGGAAGGUGGGGAUGACGUCAAAUCAUCAUGCCCUUUAUGACUUGGGCUACACACGUACUACAAUGGCGUUAAACAAAGAGAAGCAAGACCGCGAGGUGGAGCAAAACUCAGAAACAACGUCCCAGUUCGGACUGCAGGCUGCAACUCGCCUGCACGAAGUCGGAAUUGCUAGUAAUCGCAGAUCAGCAUGCUGCGGUGAAUACGUUCCCGGGCCUUGCACACACCGCCC
This 1356-nucleotide ribosomal RNA is filed under the name uncultured bacterium. RNAcentral's name for it is "bacterial SSU rRNA". It matches the Rfam family "Bacterial small subunit ribosomal RNA", at positions 18 to 1395 of the family's 1533-position model. The record is from RNAcentral.